UUUUCGCAGCCCUUAGUUCCAUCUUAUUCUUUUUUUGCUGAGGCACACUAUAGGGACCGCCCCUGAUAUACUGAAGGAAAGAGUGUACAACAGUAUGUCCGUAUGCCCCGAAUCUCCUGGGCUACACGCGGGCUAUAAUGGGUGGGACAAUGGGUUCCCACACCCAAAGGCGGAGGUAAUCCUUUAAACCUAUACUUAUAUCUGAUUGAGGGCUGUGACUCUCCCUCUUGAGACUGGAAUGCGCAUAAAUCGCGUGUCUCACUCGCGCGGGGAAUACAUCCCUGCUCCUUGUGCACACCGAGAUCCUCAGUUCCCGAGAUUAUGCUCCGUUUUAGGGGACGUUUAUCACGUGUUAAUGAGCAGGGGGGGGGGGCCCCGGGGGCCUGGGGGGGGUCAACCCCGGGCCCUUUUUUG
Molecule: ribosomal RNA, 414 nt
Filed under: Methanobrevibacter sp. CIRG-GMbb02
Lineage: Archaea; Methanobacteriati; Methanobacteriota; Methanobacteria; Methanobacteriales; Methanobacteriaceae
Description: partial 16S ribosomal RNA
Rfam family: Archaeal small subunit ribosomal RNA
Source: RNAcentral